CAUUAAAACUUUUCAGCUAGAGUAUGAUAGAGGAAAGCAGAAUUUCUAGUGUAGAGGUGAAAUUCGUAGAUAUUAGAAAGAAUACCAAUUGCGAAGGCAGCUUUCUGGAUCAUUACUGACACUGAGGAACGAAAGCAUGGGUAGCGAAGAGGAUUAGAUACCCUCGUAGUCCAUGCCGUAAACGAUGUGUGUUAGACGUUGGAAAUUUAUUUUCAGUGUCGCAGCGAAAGCGAUAAACACACCGCCUGGGGAGUACGACCGCAAGGUUAAAACUCAAAUGAAUUGACGGGGACCCGCACAAGUAGUGGAGCAUGUGGUUUAAUUCGAAGAUACGCGCAGAACCUUACCAACACUUGACAUGUUCGUCGCGACUCUAAGAGAUUAGAGUUUUCGGUUCGGCCGGACGAAACACAGGUGCUGCAUGGCUGUCGUCAGCUCGUGUCGUGAGAUGUUGGGUUAAGUCCCGCAACGAGCGCAACCCUCACUUUUAGUUGCCAUCAUUAAGUUGGGCACUCUGAAAGAACUGCCAGUGAUAAGCUGGAGGAAGGUGGGGAUGACGUCAAGUCCUCAUGGCCCUUACGUGUUGGGCUACACACGUGCUACAAUGGUAUCUACAACAGGAAGCAAGACUGCGAAGUUAAGCAAAUCCCUAAAAGAUACCUCAGUUCGGAUUGCACUCUGCAACUCGAGUGCAUGAAGCUGGAAUUACUAGUAAUCGUGGAUCAGCGUGCCACGGUGAAUGCGUUCCCGGGUCUUGUACACACCGCCCGUCACACCAUGGGAGUUGGUUCUACCUUAAGGCAAGGUUUCAAACCCUUGACCACGGUAUAGUCAGCGACUGGGGUGAAGUCGUAACAAGGUAACCGUA
This 868-nucleotide ribosomal RNA is filed under the name uncultured bacterium. Its description in RNAcentral is "bacterial SSU rRNA". It matches the Rfam family "Bacterial small subunit ribosomal RNA", at positions 625 to 1504 of the family's 1533-position model. The record is from RNAcentral.